RNAcentral lists this long non-coding RNA (2744 nucleotides) under Lynx pardinus (Iberian lynx). Lineage: Eukaryota; Metazoa; Chordata; Mammalia; Carnivora; Felidae. The record is from RNAcentral.
GGCCAGUGAUGGUGAGCAUAUUUGCGUGUACUUAUUGGUUAUUUGUAUAUCUUCUAUUACACAAUUAAUUGUAUGUCUUUUUUGUAAAUGUUUGUUUAUUUUUGAGGUGGGAGGGAGGGGAGGGACACAGAGAGAGGGAGACAGAGGAUCCAAAGCAGGCUCCACGCUGAUAGCAGAGCCCAAUGCGAGGCUGGAACUCACAAAAGGCGAGAUCAUGACCUGAGCCAAAGUCAAGACGCUUAACAGAUUGAGCCACCCAGGCGCCCUGAUUGUAUGUUUUUGUUUCUCUUUUUUUUAAUCAGUAUCCCUACCUAUCCCAUUCCACUUGGCUGUCUGUUCUUUCAUCAGAGCCACACGUUUCUCUCUUUAUUUUUCAUGUUUUAAUAUCUGAUAGGACUACUCUCUGAACUCUGCCCUCCCUUCAUUUCCUUUACUUCUUCCGAAUGAUCUUGGAUAUCCUCUCUUAUCAAUUUACUGGGAAGACCUUUCCACGUUGGCACAUUGCCGACAUGCUAACAAAAUAGAGGCACCUUGUUUACAACCAUUGGUUAUCUCUUUCCUGUACUAUUCUGAUGCAGUUCAUACGCAUUCUAAACAUCCAGUGGUGAUUUAUCCUGGAAAUGGUACACAUGUAAUUUGUGAUUUUAAUGAAAUAUUUUUGCAGUACCUUUAGAAAAGCAGUUGACACACAUGAAAGCAUUAACUUGAGUCAUUUGAUGCCAGGGGAUAAUACUUCAUUUGUGGGAAGAGGUUUUAUCUAAAUAUUUCUCCUACCCUGGAGCAUAGGUGAUUGCUUACUAAGCUGGCCUCUUUGCAUACAUUUCAAUUUCCCAGCAUUUAAUUAAUCUUGACAAUUGGGAUUCUCCAUGGAAACAGUGGAGCAAGAUGCUAUACCUUCCAAAACAAAUAUAAAAAUAAUGCUGUUGUUUGUUGCCUGGCAACAGUUCUCUUUGUUUUUAUUCAUAGGAAAAUGUAUUUUUUGCUGAUUGGUACAACUUUGACAGGGAAAGACAAAGGAGAAAAUACCUCUCUCUACAUUCAGAAACUGAUAGGGCAGUUUAAUGUUUUUCUUUGUUAAAGACCCAAGUGCAUAACUCUAAAGAGCAUUAGAAGCAUAGAUAGAAGAGCAUAGAGCAUGUAAAACAUAAAGGCAGAGUGAGUAUGAUCAGAGACGACUCUCAUUAUGGAUCUCCAAUGACAAAAGGUCUUUGAUUAAGGAACGUACUAGACAAAACUGUUGUGAUUCUCAAGCAGUGUGGGUUCAAACUGCAUUUGUAAGGCUCAAGAGUAGGGGCGUUUAGGUGGCUCAGUUGGUUGAGGGUCCGACUGCAGCUCAGGUCAUGAUCUCAUAGUCAGCGAGUUUGAGCCCCGCAUUGGGCUGUCUGCUGUCAGCCUGCUUGGAUCCUUUGUCCCCCACCUCUCUACACCUACUCCGCUUACACUCUCUCUCAAAAAUAAAUAAACAUUAAAAAAAAGUAAGGUUCAAGGUAUGUCUUAAUCUAAAUUUCAUUCCAUCAUGGUUAGUUCCUGUGACAGGUGGUAUUUUUUUGUUCACAAUUCUUUGUUCGUUUUCUACCUUUGCCAUGGUAUACUAUAGAUAAAGUACAGUUCUCUAUGUCACUCACUUUGGACUCGGUCUAUAGAGUGUGUGUGGAUGUAACAUAUGCCAUGUCUCCCCAGAAGCUGUAUGUGAAUUUAUGAAAUUUGGCUUAACCUUGUGCAUUUCUGCCAGGUAGCGGGCUCCUGGAAGGGAAUCAAGUGGAGCAGACCAGAAUCUAAGACCAACGCAAGCCUGGCCAACCCACGUGCAGCACACAGACCAGUGAGAGAAAAAAAGUAUCUGUCAUUGUAAAUCACUGAUGGUUGGGUCUUGUUUGUUAUAGAACAUUUUUGCAGCAAAACCUGACCAAUAGAAUCAUUGAGAAACUAACUGUUCCUAUUCACGCCUACCAUGAGCAAUCAUACAGACUUGACAAUUUGCACUCUAGGUGCCAGUUAGGUGGGCCCCAUCUUUCCAGUCACCAAUCAGAUGGAGCAAAGUCUGUUUAAGAGAACAACUAGCUAUGGGUCACCUGGGUGGCUCAGUUAGUUAAGCGUCCGACUCUUCACCUCUGCUCAGGUCUUGAUCUCAGGGUCAUGAGUUCAAGCCCUGUGUCAUUGGGCUUGUUGCUGGGUGUGAAGCCUACUUAAAGAGAGAGAGAGAGAGAGAGAGAGAGAGAGAGAGAGACCAAUUAGCUUAUCUUGAGGUUGCUAAGGAUGUUCUGGAAGGUGAGAUAUGUAUUUUUUUAAAUCUGUAUUUAUAAACUAGGGACAGAUAUUCUAGGAAUACUAUUAGUGGAGAAAACAGUUUACAGAACAACUUGGAUGUUCUCCUUUAGGAAAAUUUCAAACAAAUUUUGAACUGUGGCAGCUCCAGAAUUUUCAUAUAGAAUUUCUACCUAUGUGAGUGAGCUGAAUACAGUCUGAUUGGAAGGGAGUUGGGGUGAACAAACAGGCUUAACGCUGCAUUUGCAUGGCACUUUAAUAUGAUUGAAGAAACUCCCAAUUGGCCGCAUCAUAGAAUUGGUUGAAGGGAAACUGAUGAAGGAUUAAAGCCCCACUGAUGAAUGCGAAAGCCCCACACUCCCAGGCCUUCCUUGGCCCAUCCAGUGCCUAUGCUAAGCAGAUCUAUAAAUACACAGGGAGAGGGCUGGAAGGAUAUCUACCAAAAUGUAAAUGGAAGUUAUAAAUGAAAGUGGAAUUUG